GCCACUGUGGCUUAGAGGUACACAAGGAGUCUUUUGAAUCCUGUGCUCUAAAUAGCGAUUCCUUGGUAAGGAAUAGGUCGGGGGUUCAAUUCCCCCCAGUGGCU
Molecule: transfer RNA, 104 nt
Filed under: Thermoplasmata archaeon
Lineage: Archaea; Methanobacteriati; Thermoplasmatota; Thermoplasmata
Description: tRNA-Thr
Rfam family: tRNA
About the family: Transfer RNA (tRNA) molecules are approximately 80 nucleotides in length. Their secondary structure includes four short double-helical elements and three loops (D, anti-codon, and T loops). Further hydrogen bonds mediate the characteristic L-shaped molecular structure. tRNAs have two regions of fundamental functional importance: the anti-codon, which is responsible for specific mRNA codon recognition, and the 3' end, to which the tRNAs corresponding amino acid is attached (by aminoacyl-tRNA synthetases). tRNAs cope with the degeneracy of the genetic code in two manners: having more than one tRNA (with a specific anti-codon) for a particular amino acid; and 'wobble' base-pairing, i.e. permitting non-standard base-pairing at the 3rd anti-codon position.
Source: RNAcentral